UGAGAGGGUGACCGGCCACACUGGGACUGAGACACGGCCCAGACUCCUACGGGAGGCAGCAGUGGGGAAUAUUGGACAAUGGGCGGAAGCCUGAUCCAGCAACGCCGCGUGAGGGAUGACGGCCUUCGGGUUGUAAACCUCUUUCAGCAGGGACGAAGCGCAAGUGACGGUACCUGCAGAAGAAGCACCGGCCAACUACGUGCCAGCAGCCGCGGUAAUACGUAGGGUGCGAGCGUUGUCCGGAAUUAUUGGGCGUAAAGGGCUCGUAGGCGGUUUGUCGCGUCGGGAGUGAAAACCAGGUGCUUAACACCUGGCUUGCUUUCGAUACGGGCAGACUAGAGGUAUUCAGGGGAGAACGGAAUUCCUGGUGUAGCGGUGAAAUGCGCAGAUAUCAGGAGGAACGCCGGUGGCGAAGGCGGUUCUCUUGGAACCACCUGACG
This 440-nucleotide ribosomal RNA is filed under the name Nocardioides sp. Its description in RNAcentral is "bacterial SSU rRNA". It matches the Rfam family "Bacterial small subunit ribosomal RNA", at positions 293 to 745 of the family's 1533-position model. The record is from RNAcentral. Lineage: Bacteria; Bacillati; Actinomycetota; Actinomycetes; Propionibacteriales; Nocardioidaceae.